Molecule: ribosomal RNA, 252 nt
Filed under: uncultured bacterium
Lineage: Bacteria
Description: partial 16S ribosomal RNA
Rfam family: Archaeal small subunit ribosomal RNA
Source: RNAcentral
UACCAGCACCCCGAGUGGUCGGGACGUUUAUUGGGCCUAAAGCAUCCGUAGCCGGUUCUACAAGUCUUCCGUUAAAUCCAACUGCUUAACAGGUGGGCUGCGGAAGAUACUAUAGAGCUAGGAGGCGGGAGAGGCAAGCGGUACUCGAUGGGUAGGGGUAAAAUCCGUUGAUCCAUUGAAGACCACCAGUGGCGAAGGCGGCUUGCCAGAACGCGCUCGACGGUGAGGGAUGAAAGCUGGGGAGCAAACCGG